GCUCAGAACGAACGCUGGCGGCGUGCCUAACACAUGCAAGUCGAACGUGAUUAGAGAGCUUGCUCUCUAUGAAAGUGGCGCACGGGUGAGUAACGCGUAGAUAAUCUACCUGAUGAUUUGGGAUAACACUUCGAAAGGGGUGCUAAUACCGAAUAAGCCCACGGAGUCCUUGGACACUGCGGGAAAAGGGGGGGACCUUCGGGCCUUCCGUCAUCAGAUGAGUCUGCGUACCAUUAGCUAGUUGGUAGGGUAAAGGCCUACCAAGGCGACGAUGGUUAGCUGGUCUGAGAGGAUGAUCAGCCACACUGGAACUGAGACACGGUCCAGACUCCUACGGGAGGCAGCAGUGGGGAAUUUUGCGCAAUGGGGGAAACCCUGACGCAGCAACGCCGCGUGAGUGAUGAAGGCCCUUGGGUCGUAAAGCUCUGACAGAGGGAAAGAAAUGUGGGUGGCUAAUAUCCAUUCCACUUGACGGUACCCUCAAAGGAAGCACCGGCUAACUCCGUGCCAGCAGCCGCGGUAAUACGGAGGGUGCGAGCGUUGUUCGGAUUUAUUGGGCGUAAAGCGCGUGUAGGCGGUUUUAUAAGUCUGAUGUGAAAGCCCCGGGCUCAACCUGGGAAGUGCAUUGGAUACUGUAAGACUUGAAUACGGGAGAGGGCAGUGGAAUUCCUGGUGUAGGAGUGAAAUCCGUAGAUAUCAGGAGGAACACCGGUGGCGAAGGCGGCUGCCUGGACCGAUAUUGACGCUGAGACGCGAAAGCGUGGGUAGCAAACAGGAUUAGAUACCCUGGUAGUCCACGCCGUAAACGAUGAGUACUAGGUGUUGCGGGUAUUGACCCCUGCAGUGCCGCAGCUAACGCAUUAAGUACUCCGCCUGGGAAGUACGGUCGCAAGACUAAAACU
Molecule: ribosomal RNA, 902 nt
Filed under: uncultured bacterium
Lineage: Bacteria
Description: bacterial SSU rRNA
Rfam family: Bacterial small subunit ribosomal RNA
Source: RNAcentral